Long non-coding RNA from Esox lucius (northern pike), 985 nucleotides. RefSeq lists it as uncharacterized. The transcript has 3 exons. NCBI's taxonomy places the organism in Eukaryota, Metazoa, Chordata, Actinopteri, Esociformes, Esocidae. The record is from RefSeq and is a predicted model, not a curated record.
CAGACCUCCAGGCGGCCCAGACCAGUGCACACGUGGAGAGGGCGACCAGGCUGAAUGGAAAGAAACAACACAGAUGUGAGUCCUACAUGAGAGAACAUCCUCAGUUCAAUGGCAAGGCAACUGUAUGCUUACCUGGAGAAAUAUCCUGGGCCUGAGCCUGGGCACAACCCAAUCCACUCUCUCCCGUUGAAGGCUGAUGUCCCUCUCAGCAUCCCCAGACUGGAGAACUGUGGGAUGGAACGUAUUGCUCCGCAUUUUACUGAUGGGAUAGAUCCGCUUAAGAUGUACCCCUUUCUUUCAAAGUUGUUGCUGAGGAGGGACGAUGAUCAUCGGCUUAAAUCAUGAGACACCGAAGCUCAGGAUAAGACAUUUCCAAUGUUAUCUUACUCUACACUGGUUUGGGGUAUCCAUUUAAACAAAGCGGAACAAAAGCAGGGCAAACGUUUCCAAGCGCCUUGUUCUUGAUGAUAAUUUGUUAUUUCAUGCAAAGACACGGUUGUCCUCAAAGUUACAAUCUGAUUAGGUCAAACAGAGUUACAUAUUCUUCUGUGGUCCAAAAGGCUAGAAACUAAUUAUUCCCUUAUUCAACCGUAUGGCUCCACCCCCGUAAAACAGUGAUUUGUCUGAUCUACUCUGAUGUAAAUUUGUGUGAACAUUCAAGCUGAGAAUCUGCAAAUACCCAUUUCAUCAAUCUGUCCACCAAAGGUCACAUUUUGUAAUAAUGUCCACUAACAUUAACGUGCUGAUCACUUGACUUCACUUAAGGAUCCACCUGAUUGAUUCUGAUGGGGGACACUGAGGAGGGAAAUGGGACUGUGCGGUUGGUAGUUGAAUGAUUUCUUGGAAACAGAUAUGAUUUGGCCUCUAUAUAUAGUCUGAACAGGCUGAGCAGCGCAACCUGGACUGGGUCAGCUGGUUUCACAAUCCCCAAAUGAGAGCCGCGUUGCCAUGCUUCCUGGCUGAUUAAAUAAAUUACUGAAUCCUU